Unclassified non-coding RNA from Callithrix jacchus (white-tufted-ear marmoset), 300 nucleotides. It matches the Rfam family "Metazoan signal recognition particle RNA". Rfam says of the family: The signal recognition particle (SRP) is a universally conserved ribonucleoprotein. It is involved in the co-translational targeting of proteins to membranes. The record is from Ensembl. Lineage: Eukaryota; Metazoa; Chordata; Mammalia; Primates; Cebidae.
GCUGGGCACAGUGGCGCGUGCCUGUAGUCCCAGCUACUCUGGAGGCUGAGGUGGGAGGAUCGCUUGAGCCCAGGAGUUCUGGGCUGUAGUGCGCUAUGCCGAUCAGGUGUCCAUACUAAGUUUGGCAUCAAUAUGGUGACCUCCCGGAAGCAGGGAACCACCAGGUUGCCUAAGGAGGGGUGAACCGGCCCAGGUCAGAAACGGAGCAGGUCAAAAGUCCUGUGCUGAUCAGUAGUGGGAUUGCGCCUAUGAAUAGCCACUGCACUCCAGUCUGGGCAACAUAGUGAGACCCCAUCUCUU